Long non-coding RNA from Temnothorax curvispinosus, 625 nucleotides. RefSeq lists it as uncharacterized. Lineage: Eukaryota; Metazoa; Arthropoda; Insecta; Hymenoptera; Formicidae. The record is from RefSeq and is a predicted model, not a curated record. The transcript is spliced from 3 exons.
CCUUCUUGAUUUUUGUAGCUUUAGUCGUCGAAAUAUUCGGGAAAUAUAUAUCGACUCUCUGUUGCAAUCGUGGUAAUCAACUUCGUGUUAAUCGACGCGAAGUUGCCUAGUUAGGACGGAACACUCCCAAUGAAGAGAAUGACACAAGGAAUCCAAUUGAGGGUACCUCCUCGUCUGAUAAAAUCUGUAUAAUUGUCGAGGAUGUUAUCACGAGUGGCAACGAUAUUCUAGAAGGGCCGUCAAAUGUAUAAAAAAAGAUAACCCAAACACUAUAGAAGUUUAUGUGGUUGAUAUGGAGUAAGAUAGCAAGAAGAAUCUCGAAAAUCACGGGAUUAAAGUGAAAAGUCUAUUCGAGAUUACACAAUACAUGAAGUACGUUCUCGAGGCUGGAAAGAUCACGCCCGAAAUAGUUAAAAACGUUGAUGAUUACGUGGCAGCGAAUCAAGCAGCGAAUAUUUCCACUUAAGACGCACCAAAUGACAAAUUCAAGCUGCAUAAGGUAAAUGAGUAAAAAAUUAACGACGAGUCCAUCAGUCUCGAAGCUGCCAUAUGUUAGCAGCUAGAGCUAUAAUAUUAUAUGGAAUCAAAACAAAUAUAAAUCUAUACUUGGCGGUCAAUUUCUGGA